RNAcentral lists this ribosomal RNA (592 nucleotides) under uncultured bacterium. RNAcentral describes it as "partial 16S ribosomal RNA". It matches the Rfam family "Bacterial small subunit ribosomal RNA", at positions 897 to 1493 of the family's 1533-position model. The record is from RNAcentral.
AAACUCAAAGGAAUUGACGGGGANCCGCACAAGCNGGGGAUGAUGUGGUUUAAUUCGAUGCAACGNAAAAACCUUACCUACCCUUGACAUGUCUGGAAUCCCGGAGAGAUUCGGGGGUGCUCGAAAGAGAACCAGAACACAGGUGCUGCAUGGNCGUCGNUUUACAACGCCGUGCGUGGUUNNUAAANNACAACNACCGAGCGCAANNNUAGUCAUUAGUUGCUANGAAAGGNNNNUCUAAUGAGACUGCCGGAGACAAACCGGAGGAAGGGGGGGAUGACGUCAGGUCAUCAUGGCCCUUAUGGGUAGGGCUACACACGUCAUACAAUGGACGGUACAGAGGGCUGCCAACCCGCGAGGGGGGAGCCAAUCCCAGAAAACCGNUCGUAGUCCGGAUUGCAGUCUGCAACUCGACUGCAUGAAGUCGGAAUCGCUAGUAAUCGCGNAUCAGNNNGCGGNGGUGAAUACGUUCCCGGGUCUUGUACACACCGNNCGUCACACCAUGGGAGUGGGGUUNGCCANAAGUAGUUAGCCUAACCGCAAGGGGGGCGAUUACCACGGCAGGCUUCAUGACUGGGGUGAAGUCGUAACA